UCUAGGACCUGGCAGCCAAUCCAGCUACAGAAGAAACUGGAGGGAACAUUCUGAACACAUACAAUUCAUACUUGAAUAAAUAAUUCAGCUAGCUUAAUUUACUAUUUACUCUAUGCGUUCUCUCUCUUCAGGCACCUUCUACCCGGCAACGUCACAGAUCAUCACCGAAACCCGGACCAUCCCCACCACGACAGCUUUUGCUUCAGCUGCUGAAUCUCCUCCUGAGAAGAAACAAAUAACAACAACAGAAAGAAACAGUCAGAAAAUCAAACAUUCAAACAGCCCAACAGCAAAAUACAUUCUGUCCCGGCUCUUCAUGGCCCCCUGAUUGCUGUCUGGACCGACUCUGCAGGCCGUUCGACUAAAAGACUUAGCGCUGGUGUUUUGUUCAUAAAAGAAGGCUGCUCUGAGACGGUCAGCACCCAGAUGACUGCACAAAUACACAACGCUCGGCGGGUCGCAGCCCAGCGGACGUGCCACGCAUGCACAUGCUCGAACCCUUUGACUUGCUAAUGCAGAGCCUCAAAGGAAGAGUCACAUUCGGUCCAAGUAGCAUCUCUUUACCAGUGCACAUCCUAAAAGCGCCUUCAGAGGAAACGCAUUCACAUACAUUCAACUACAAACUGUCACACUGGUCUAAUGCCCAUUUUGCACCAACUUGGUUGCGUUUUUCCACCAAAGAAACUUGUGUUCGCAGCUCGCACCACAGAAUACUAGGUGGGUAGGGGUUUUUUCAGCGCAAACCAUGACGUCAUCUGUGGCAAUGCCCACCGUUGAUGAUGCAUGCUUGGCUCCCAAAAACUGGUGGAAAGGCAGUCGGUUCUCUAAAAAACACCAAGGUUUGAACCAGAGUUCUUUUGAUGGAAAAACGCUGAAAGAGGCAAGUGCUUUGAAUGACACCCAAAGCAGCUACCUAGGUAGGCAGCAUUUUUAGCAAGCAUUUGCAGGAGAUGAAGCCUUAACUGUUUGAAACACAGCCAUUAUUUAAGCUACUUUACUUGGCCAAAAUAAAGCAAUAAGCCACGAGAGGCCGUACGUUACUGUGAUUUUAGCACGGGGAUGACGUUUUUGGCGCGAUGCGAAGCGGAGUGCCUAAAACUUCUUUCCCCGUGCUAAAAUCGUAACAGUAACGUACGGUCUCGAGUGGCUUAUUGCUUUUAUAAAACGGCGG
This is a long non-coding RNA of Trichomycterus rosablanca, 1171 nucleotides long. RefSeq lists it as uncharacterized. Lineage: Eukaryota; Metazoa; Chordata; Actinopteri; Siluriformes; Trichomycteridae. The record is from RefSeq and is a predicted model, not a curated record. The transcript is spliced from 3 exons.